CCUACGGGCGGCAGCAGUAGGGAAUCUUUCACAAUGGGCGAAAGCCUGAUGGAGCAACGCCGCGUGCAGGAUGAAGGCCUUCGGGUUGUACACUGCUUUUAUAAGCGAGAAAUAUGAUGGUAACUUAUGAAUAAGGAUCGUCUAACUACGUGCCAGCAGCCGCGGUCAAACGUAGGAUCCGAGCAUUAUCCGGAGUGACUGGGUGUAAAGAGGUGCGUAGGUGGCAUAAUAAGUAGCUAGUGAAAUCUGGUGGCUCAACCAUUCAGACUAUUAGCUAAACUGUUAAGCUCGAGACCGUUAGGGGUAACUGGAAUUUCUAGUGUAGGAGUGAAAUCCGUAGAUAUUAGAAGGAACACCAAUAGCGUAGGCAGGUUACUGGGACGGUUCUGACACUAAGGCACGAAAGCGUAGGGAGCAAACGGGAUUAGAUACCCCUGUAGUC
RNAcentral lists this ribosomal RNA (442 nucleotides) under uncultured bacterium. RNAcentral's name for it is "partial 16S ribosomal RNA". It matches the Rfam family "Bacterial small subunit ribosomal RNA", at positions 338 to 795 of the family's 1533-position model. The record is from RNAcentral.